AGACGGGGGGGGCAAGCGUUGUUCGGAAUUACUGGGCGUAAAGGGCGCGUAGGCGGCCUGGGAAGUCUUGGGUGAAAGCCCUCAGCUCAACUGGGGAAUGGCCUGAGAAACCACUGGGCUGGAGUGCUGGAGGGGGAAGCGGAAUUCCCGGUGGAGCGGUGAAAUGCGUAGAUAUCGGGAGGAACACCAGAGGCGAAGGCGGCUUCCUGGACAGACACUGACGCUGAGGCGCGAAAGCGUGGGGAGCAAACAGGAUUAGAAACCCCGGUAGUCC
RNAcentral lists this ribosomal RNA (274 nucleotides) under uncultured bacterium. RNAcentral's name for it is "partial 16S ribosomal RNA". It matches the Rfam family "Bacterial small subunit ribosomal RNA", at positions 523 to 796 of the family's 1533-position model. The record is from RNAcentral.